GAAAAGAAACCAACAGGGAUUGCCUCAGUAACGGCGAGUGAAGCGGCAAAAGCUCAAAUUUGAAAUCUGGCACUAUUGGUGUCCGAGUUGUAAUUUGGAGAGGCAACUUCAGGUAGGGUCCAGUCUAUGUUCCUUGGAACAGGACAUCAUAGAGGGUGAGAAUCCCGUUCUUGGCUGGAUGUCCUUGCCGGUAUGUAGUGCCUUCUACGAGUCGAGUUGUUUGGGAAUGCAGCUCAAAAUGGGUGGUAAAUUUCAUCUAAAGCUAAAUAUUGGCGAGAGACCGAUAGCGCACAAGUAGAGUGAUCGAAAGAUGAAAAGCACUUUGAAAAUAGAGUCAAAAAGUACGUGAAAUUGUUGAAAGGGAAGCGCUUGAGACCAGACUCAGUCUUCGGCAAACAGCUAUCCUUCUGGGUGGUGCACUUGCCUUAGACUGGGCCAGCAUCAGUUGGGACGGUGAGAUAAAGGCCAGGGGAAUGUGACUCCAUUUAGGAGUGUUAUAGACCUUGGUGCCAUGCCACCUGCCCUGACUGUGGACCGCGCUUUGGCUAGGAUGCUGGCGUAAUGGUCUUCA
RNAcentral lists this ribosomal RNA (571 nucleotides) under Tuber sp. 13. RNAcentral's name for it is "eukaryotic LSU rRNA". It matches the Rfam family "Eukaryotic large subunit ribosomal RNA", at positions 56 to 643 of the family's 3401-position model. The record is from RNAcentral. Lineage: Eukaryota; Fungi; Ascomycota; Pezizomycetes; Pezizales; Tuberaceae.